This 1179-nucleotide ribosomal RNA is filed under the name Escherichia coli. RNAcentral describes it as "bacterial LSU rRNA". It matches the Rfam family "Bacterial large subunit ribosomal RNA", at positions 1 to 1212 of the family's 2925-position model. The record is from RNAcentral. Lineage: Bacteria; Pseudomonadati; Pseudomonadota; Gammaproteobacteria; Enterobacterales; Enterobacteriaceae.
GGGUUGUGAGGUUAAGCGACUAAGCGUACACGGUGGAUGCCCUGGCAGUCAGAGGCGAUGAAGGACGUGCUAAUCUGCGAUAAGCGUCGGUAAGGUGAUAUGAACCGUUAUAACCGGCGAUUUCCGAAUGGGGAAACCCAGUGUGUUUCGACACACUAUCAUUAACUGAAUCCAUAGGUUAAUGAGGCGAACCGGGGGAACUGAAACAUCUAAGUACCCCGAGGAAAAGAAAUCAACCGAGAUUCCCCCAGUAGCGGCGAGCGAACGGGGAGCAGCCCAGAGCCUGAAUCAGUGUGUGUGUUAGUGGAAGCGUCUGGAAAGGCGCGCGAUACAGGGUGACAGCCCCGUACACAAAAAUACACAUAUUGUGAGCUCGAUGAGUAGGGCGGGACACGUGGUAUCCUGUCUGAAUAUGGGGGGACCAUCCUCCAAGGCUAAAUACUCCUGACUGACCGAUAGUGAACCAGUACCGUGAGGGAAAGGCGAAAAGAACCCCGGCGAGGGGAGUGAAAAAGAACCUGAAACCGUGUACGUACAAGCAGUGGGAGCACGCUUAGGCGUGUGACUGCGUACCUUUUGUAUAAUGGGUCAGCGACUUAUAUUCUGUAGCAAGGUUAACCGAAUAGGGGAGCCGAAGGGAAACCGAGUCUUAACUGGGCGUUAAGUUGCAGGGUAUAGACCCGAAACCCGGUGAUCUAGCCAUGGGCAGGUUGAAGGUUGGGUAACACUAACUGGAGGACCGAACCGACUAAUGUUGAAAAAUUAGCGGAUGACUUGUGGCUGGGGGUGAAAGGCCAAUCAAACCGGGAGAUAGCUGGUUCUCCCCGAAAGCUAUUUAGGUAGCGCCUCGUGAAUUCAUCUCCGGGGGUAGAGCACUGUUUCGGCAAGGGGGUCAUCCCGACUUACCAACCCGAUGCAAACUGCGAAUACCGGAGAAUGUUAUCACGGGAGACACACGGCGGGUGCUAACGUCCGUCGUGAAGAGGGAAACAACCCAGACCGCCAGCUAAGGUCCCAAAGUCAUGGUUAAGUGGGAAACGAUGUGGGAAGGCCCAGACAGCCAGGAUGUUGGCUUAGAAGCAGCCAUCAUUUAAAGAAAGCGUAAUAGCUCACUGGUCGAGUCGGCCUGCGCGGAAGAUGUAACGGGGCUAAACCAUGCACCGAAGCUGCGGCAGCGAC